RNAcentral lists this ribosomal RNA (449 nucleotides) under uncultured bacterium. RNAcentral describes it as "partial 16S ribosomal RNA". It matches the Rfam family "Bacterial small subunit ribosomal RNA", at positions 29 to 523 of the family's 1533-position model. The record is from RNAcentral.
AACGAACGCUGGCGGCAUGCCUAUCAUAUGCAAGUCGAACGAAGGCUUCGGCCUUAGUGGCGCACGGGUGCGUAACGCGUGGGAAUCUGCCCCUCGGUUCGGAAUAACAGUUAGAAAUGACUGCUAAUACCGGAUGAUGACUUCGGUCCAAAGAUUUAUCGCCGAGGGAUGAGCCCGCGUAAGAUUAGGUAGUUGGUGGGGUAAAGGCCUACCAAGCCGACGAUCUUUAGCUGGUCUGAGAGGAUGAUCAGCCACACUGGGACUGAGACACGGCCCAGACUCCUACGGGAGGCAGCAGUGGGGAAUAUUGGACAAUGGGCGAAAGCCUGAUCCAGCAAUGCCGCGUGAGUGAUGAAGGCCUUAGGGUUGUAAAGCUCUUUUACCAGGGAUGAUAAUGACAGUACCUGGAGAAUAAGCUCCGGCUAACUCCGUGCCAGCCGCCGCGGUAA